UACGGAGGGUGCAAGCGUUGUUCGGAAUUAUUGGGCGUAAAGCGCGUGUAGGCGGUUUGUUAAGUCUGGUGUGAAAGCCCUGGGCUCAACCUGGGAAGUGCAUUGGAUACUGGCAAACUUGAGUACGGGAGAGGAUAGUGGAAUUUCGAGUGUAGGGGUGAAAUCCGUAGAUAUUCGAAGGAACACCGGUGGCGAAGGCGGCUAUCUGGACCGAUACUGACGCUGAGACGCGAAAGCGUGGGGAGCAAACAGG
Molecule: non-coding RNA, 253 nt
Filed under: bacterium
Lineage: Bacteria
Also listed under: 4 other names
Description: partial 16S ribosomal RNA
Rfam family: Bacterial small subunit ribosomal RNA
Source: RNAcentral